AUGAUGGAGUUCAGGACAGGGCUGCUGCUGUUGACUCUCUGCUGUGCAGGUGCUGAUGCUCAGACUCUGACAGAAUCUGAACCAGCAGUGAAAAGACCUGGAGAAUCCCACAGACUGACCUGUACGACCUCUGGCUUCACACUCAUCAACUACUGGAUGGCCUGGAUCAGACAGGCUCCUGGAAAAGGCCUGGAGUGGAUUGUUACUGAUGAUGGUGACAGCAACUAUUACUCUCAGUCAGUUCAAGGACGAUUCAUUUCCUCCAGAAACAACGGCAAACAGCAGCUGUAUCUGCAGAUGAACAGUCUGAAGACGGAGGAUUCAGCUGUUUAUUACUGCGUACGUCGCUCCACAGUGACACAAACCACCGACACACCUGCACAAAUACUGCAGCCACAACAGUUUUAA
This is a non-coding RNA of Betta splendens (Siamese fighting fish), 408 nucleotides long. The record is from the annotation of a RefSeq genome assembly. NCBI's taxonomy places the organism in Eukaryota, Metazoa, Chordata, Actinopteri, Anabantiformes, Osphronemidae.